Molecule: ribosomal RNA, 254 nt
Filed under: uncultured bacterium
Lineage: Bacteria
Description: partial 16S ribosomal RNA
Rfam family: Bacterial small subunit ribosomal RNA
Source: RNAcentral
UACAGAGGUGGCAAGCGUUGUUCGGAAUUACUGGGCGUAAAGGGCGCGUAGGCGGCCUUCUAAGUCGGACGUGAAAGCCCCGGGCUCAACCUGGGAACGGCGCGCGAAACGGGAGGGCUGGAGUUCGGGAGAGGAGAGUGGAAUUCCCAGUGUAGAGGUGAAAUUCGUAGAUAUUGGGAAGAACACCGGUGGCGAAGGCGGCUCUCUGGACCGAGACUGACGCUGAGGCGCGAAAGCGUGGGGAGCAAACAGGG